AGUUUGGCUUGCUUCCUGUGCAAGUCAUGUUUAGGAUAGCUUGCUCCCUGUGCAAGUUAGCUAGAAACCUUAACUUAGGGAUGAUUUGCAUGAUAACAUCUAGGCUCGAGUCGUAGUCUCCCUAGUUGUGUCUCCCUCUGUUAUCUGGUUAGGCUAGUCCUGUGUCCCUUCGUAGGGGAACUACGUCGCCCUGAUCCUCAUACCAGAUGAGGUACGUAGGCAGGAGAUGAGCN
Molecule: long non-coding RNA, 233 nt
Filed under: Lathyrus oleraceus (garden pea)
Lineage: Eukaryota; Viridiplantae; Streptophyta; Magnoliopsida; Fabales; Fabaceae
Description: Pisum sativum (pea) long non-coding RNA (PSAT_LNC021858)
Source: RNAcentral